This 253-nucleotide ribosomal RNA is filed under the name uncultured bacterium. RNAcentral describes it as "partial 16S ribosomal RNA". It matches the Rfam family "Bacterial small subunit ribosomal RNA", at positions 524 to 776 of the family's 1533-position model. The record is from RNAcentral.
UACGUAGGUGGCAAGCGUUGUCCGGAUUUACUGGGCGUAAAGAGCGCGCAGGCGGCCGAGUAAGUCGAAUGUGAAAGCCCCCGGCUCAACUGGGGAAGGUCAUUCGAUACUGUUCGGCUCGAAGAUAGGAGAGGGAAGCGGAAUUUCAGGUGUAGUGGUGAAAUGCGUAGAUAUCUGAAGGAACACCAGUGGCGAAGGCGGCUUUCUGGCCUAUUCUUGACGCUGAGGCGCGAAAGCGUGGGGAGCAAACAGG